Molecule: ribosomal RNA, 450 nt
Filed under: uncultured bacterium
Lineage: Bacteria
Description: partial 16S ribosomal RNA
Rfam family: Bacterial small subunit ribosomal RNA
Source: RNAcentral
GUGGGGAAUCUUCCGCAAUGGACGAAAGUCUGACGGAGCAACGCCGCGUGAGUGAUGAAGGUCUUCGGAUUGUAAAGCUCUGUUAAUCGGGACGAAAGAGCCUAGUGUGAAUAAUGCUAGGAAGUGACGGUACCGGAAUAGAAAGCCACGGCUAACUACGUGCCAGCAGCCGCGGUAAUACGUAGGUGGCAAGCGUUGUCCGUAAUUAUUGGGCGUAAAGCGCGCGCAGGCGGACCUGCCAGUCUGUCUUAAAAGUUCGGGGCUUAACCCCGUGAUGGGAUAGAAACUACAGAUCUAGAGUAUCGGAGAGGAAAGUGGAAUUCCUAGUGUAGCGGUGAAAUGCGUAGAUAUUAGGAAGAACACCAGUGGCGAAGGCGACUUUCUGGACGAAAACUGACGCUGAGGCGCGAAAGCCAGGGGAGCGAACGGGAUUAGAUACCCCUGUAGUCC